RNAcentral lists this ribosomal RNA (497 nucleotides) under uncultured bacterium. RNAcentral's name for it is "partial 16S ribosomal RNA". It matches the Rfam family "Bacterial small subunit ribosomal RNA", at positions 28 to 507 of the family's 1533-position model. The record is from RNAcentral.
GACGAACGCUGGCGGCGUGCCUAAUACAUGCAAGUUGAGCGCUGAAGGUUGGUACUUGUACCAACUGGAUGAGCAGCGAACGGGUGAGUAACGCGUGGAGAAUCUGCCUUUGAGCGGGGGACAACAUUUGGAAACGAAUGCUAAUACCGCAUAAAAACUUUAAACACAAGUUUUAAGUUUGAAAGAUGCAAUUGCAUCACUCAAAGAUGAUCCCGCGUUGUAUUAGCUAGUUGGUGAGGUAAAGGCUCACCAAGGCGAUGAUACAUAGCCGACCUGAGAGGGUGAUCGGCCACAUUGGGACUGAGACACGGCCCAAACUCCUACGGGAGGCAGCAGUAGGGAAUCUUCGGCAAUGGACGAAAGUCUGACCGAGCAACGCCGCGGGAGUGAAGAAGGUUUUCGGAUCGUAAAACUCUGUUGGUAGAGAAGAACGUUGGUGAGAGUGGAAAGCUCAUCAAGUGACGGUAACUACACAGAAAGGGACGGCUGACUACGUG